AAUGGGUCAGCGACUUAUAUUCUGUAGCAAGGUUAACCGAAUAGGGGAGCCGAAGGGAAACCGAGUCUUAACUGGGCGUUAAGUUGCAGGGUAUAGACCCGAAACCCGGUGAUCUAGCCAUGGGCAGGUUGAAGGUUGGGUAACACUAACUGGAGGACCGAACCGACUAAUGUUGAAAAAUUAGCGGAUGACUUGUGGCUGGGGGUGAAAGGCCAAUCAAACCGGGAGAUAGCUGGUUCUCCCCGAAAGCUAUUUAGGUAGCGCCUCGUGAAUUCAUCUCCGGGGGUAGAGCACUGUUUCGGCAAGGGGGUCAUCCCGACUUACCAACCCGAUGCAAACUGCGAAUACCGGAGAAUGUUAUCACGGGAGACACACGGCGGGUGCUAACGUCCGUCGUGAAGAGGGAAACAACCCAGACCGCCAGCUAAGGUCCCAAAGUCAUGGUUAAGUGGGAAACGAUGUGGGAAGGCCCAGACAGCCAGGAUGUUGGCUUAGAAGCAGCCAUCAUUUAAAGAAAGCGUAAUAGCUCACUGGUCGAGUCGGCCUGCGCGGAAGAUGUAACGGGGCUAAACCAUGCACCGAAGCUGCGGCAGCGACACUAUGUGUUGUUGGGUAGGGGAGCGUUCUGUAAGCCUGUGAAGGUGUGCUGUGAGGCAUGCUGGAGGUAUCAGAAGUGCGAAUGCUGACAUAAGUAACGAUAAAGCGGGUGAAAAGCCCGCUCGCCGGAAGACCAAGGGUUCCUGUCCAACGUUAAUCGGGGCAGGGUGAGUCGACCCCUAAGGCGAGGCCGAAAGGCGUAGUCGAUGGGAAACAGGUUAAUAUU
Molecule: ribosomal RNA, 823 nt
Filed under: Escherichia coli
Lineage: Bacteria; Pseudomonadati; Pseudomonadota; Gammaproteobacteria; Enterobacterales; Enterobacteriaceae
Description: partial 23S ribosomal RNA
Rfam family: Bacterial large subunit ribosomal RNA
Source: RNAcentral